UGGACCAGUGAUGGUGACUGGUGGUGUGUGAGUUGUGGGUGAUGAGCAAUACCUGUGAGGGUCAAC
This is a small nucleolar RNA of Ursus americanus (American black bear), 66 nucleotides long. The record is from Ensembl. Lineage: Eukaryota; Metazoa; Chordata; Mammalia; Carnivora; Ursidae.